AGUGAACGCUGGCGGUAGGCCUAACACAUGCAAGUCGAACGGCAGCACAGUAAGAGCUUGCUCUUACGGGUGGCGAGUGGCGGACGGGUGAGGAAUACAUCGGAAUCUACUUUUUCGUGGGGGGUAACGUAGGGAAACUUACGCUAAUACCGCAUACGACCUACGGGUGAAAGCAGGGGAUCUUCGGACCUUGCGCGAUUGAAUGAGCCGAUGUCGGAUUAGCUAGUUGGCGGGGUAAAGGCCCACCAAGGCGACGAUCCGUAGCUGGCCUGAGAGGAUGAUCAGCCACACUGGAACUGAGACACGGUCCAGACUCCUACGGGAGGCAGCAGUGGGGAAUAUUGGACAAUGGGCGCAAGCCUGAUCCAGCCAUACCGCGUGGGUGAAGAAGGCCUUCGGGUUGUAAAGCCCUUUUGUUGGGAAAGAAAAGCAGCAGGUUAAUACCCCGCUGUUCUGACGGUACCCAAAGAAUAAGCACCGGCUAACUUCGUG
RNAcentral lists this ribosomal RNA (492 nucleotides) under uncultured bacterium. RNAcentral describes it as "partial 16S ribosomal RNA". It matches the Rfam family "Bacterial small subunit ribosomal RNA", at positions 29 to 507 of the family's 1533-position model. The record is from RNAcentral.